CUGUGCACAGUAGGUUGGGGAAGUCCUCUGGGGAAGGAGCCCACCACACUGGGACUCAGGCAGCAGGGCUAGAAAGGUGGUUCCGCUGGGUGUCGGGGCUUGGUGUGAUCAAGAUCUGGUCUCUCUCCAGUGUCCUUAAUAAGAGGCACUGCCAUUCAGAUGGUUGCACAAGGCAGAAAAUAGAGGAGUACCUAAAAGAGGGUGGAAGAUGCUUAUUGCUUGGUUGCCCAGAAGAAUCAUGGCUGUUGCUGAUAAUUAUGACUGACAGUGAGCAAGGAAAGCCUGCCAGGCCUUCCCUUGUUCCUAGACAACAGACUCAACACUGAUUAAACUUAUAACCCUGGAAUUUAAUUUCCUAGUCACUGAGUUUUGGACUUAGAACAACAACAACAAAAAAAACCUAAAAAAACAAGAAACCAAACCAGAAACAGAAGUAAGUAUUGGCUUCUUGAUGAAUGCUCAAGGACGGAUUUAAAAACUUGGUGUAUAUUACAGAAGUUACUGAUACACAUAAUCCAUUUGAUCGAUGCAAGGGUAACAACAGUCAACUGAGAAGACUGAAUUCCUUUUGGAGUCUGAGAAAGCCACUUUCGACUCCCUAAGGAAUUGUCUGCCCUUGGUUUCCUCUGAAAAAUCGACAGAUGUAAUCUGUUGUGCCUAAGUUUUCCAUCAAGAUUGAGGUGCAUAACCUUUUCUUUUAUAAAGUUAAAUAUCAUCAAG
Long non-coding RNA from Leopardus geoffroyi (Geoffroy's cat), 720 nucleotides. RefSeq lists it as uncharacterized. Lineage: Eukaryota; Metazoa; Chordata; Mammalia; Carnivora; Felidae. The record is from RefSeq and is a predicted model, not a curated record. The transcript is spliced from 3 exons.